Molecule: ribosomal RNA, 396 nt
Filed under: uncultured bacterium
Lineage: Bacteria
Description: partial 16S ribosomal RNA
Rfam family: Bacterial small subunit ribosomal RNA
Source: RNAcentral
AUACGGAGGAUCCGAGCGUUAUCCGGAUUUAUUGGGUGUAAAGGGCGAGUAGGCGGGUAAACAAGUCAGAUGUGAAAUACCGAGGCUCAACUUCGGGGCUGCAUUUGAAACUGUUUAUCUUGAGUGAUGGAGAGGCAGGCGGAAUUCCCAGUGUAGCGGUAAAAUGCAUAGAGAUUGGGAGGAACACCAGUGGCGAAGGCGGCCUGCUGGACAUCAACUGACGCUGAGGAGCGAAAGUGUGGGGAGCAAACAGGAUUAGAUACCCUGGUAGUCCACACCGUAAACGAUGGAUACUAGGUGUGCGGGGACUGACCCCCUGCGUGCCGGAGUUAACACAUUAAGUAUCCCACCUGGGGAGUACGAUCGCAAGAUUGAAACUCAAAGGAAUUGACGGGG